This 253-nucleotide ribosomal RNA is filed under the name uncultured bacterium. RNAcentral describes it as "partial 16S ribosomal RNA". It matches the Rfam family "Bacterial small subunit ribosomal RNA", at positions 524 to 776 of the family's 1533-position model. The record is from RNAcentral.
UACAGAGGUCUCAAGCGUUGUUCGGAUUCAUUGGGCGUAAAGGGUGCGUAGGCGGCGCGGUAAGUCGGGUGUGAAAUCUCGGAGCUUAACUCCGAAACUGCAUUCGAUACUGCCGUGCUUGAGGACUGGAGAGGAGACUGGAAUUUACGGUGUGGCGGUGAAAUGCGUAGAUAUCAGGAAGAACACCAAUGGCGAAGGCAGCUCUCUGGGACGGUACUGACGCUGAGACGCGAAAGCGUGGGGAGCGAACAGG